This 460-nucleotide ribosomal RNA is filed under the name uncultured Methylomirabilota bacterium. RNAcentral describes it as "bacterial SSU rRNA". It matches the Rfam family "Bacterial small subunit ribosomal RNA", at positions 977 to 1435 of the family's 1533-position model. The record is from RNAcentral. Lineage: Bacteria; Methylomirabilota (SeqCode).
GGGCUUGACAUCCCACGAACCUGUCGAAAGGCAGGAGUGCCCGCAAGGGAGCGCGGAGACAGGUGGUGCAUGGCUGUCGUCAGCUCGUGUCGUGAGAUGUUGGGUUAAGUCCCGCAACGAGCGCAACCCUUAUCCGCUGUUGCCAUCAGGUAAUGCUGGGCACUCUGCGGAGACUGCCGGUGACAAACCGGAGGAAGGUGGGGAUGACGUCAAGUCAGCAUGGCCUUUAUGUCCGGGGCUACACACGUGCUACAAUGGCCGGUACAAACCGCUGCAAACUCGCAAGGGUGAGCUAAUCGGAAAGAGCCGGUCUCAGUUCGGAUUGUAGGCUGCAACUCGCCUGCAUGAAGUCGGAAUCGCUAGUAAUCGCGGAUCAGCACGCCGCGGUGAAUACGUUCCCGGGCCUUGUACACACCGCCCGUCACAUCACGAAAGCUGGCUGUACUCGAAGUCGCUGAGA